ACGCUCGACACCUACGGGGGGCAGCAGUGGGGGAAUAUUGCACAAUGGGGGAAACCCUGAUGCAGCGACGCCGCGUGAGCGAAGAAGUAUUUCGGUAUGUAAAGCUCUAUCAGCAGGGAAGAAACUGACGGUACCUGACCAAGAAGCACCGGCUAAAUACGUGCCAGCAGCCACGGUAAUCGUGAGGCGGGCGUGGCAAGGC
RNAcentral lists this ribosomal RNA (202 nucleotides) under uncultured bacterium. RNAcentral's name for it is "partial 16S ribosomal RNA". It matches the Rfam family "Bacterial small subunit ribosomal RNA", at positions 328 to 544 of the family's 1533-position model. The record is from RNAcentral.